AGGAGGCGGAGGAGGAAGGCGAUACGGUGACAGCGGGGAGGGGGCUGCGCGGGGAGUCCCCCCGGCUCGGCGGGGCUGCCUCAGACCAUCCCCGACCUCCUCCCCGCCGCGCACCGGGGCAGCCCUGCGCGGCGGCCAGCGUUCGUACACGUGCUUUUGCGAAGCCGGCUGGACGGGGUUCGAGCCUGAGAGUGGGAAACGCAGAAAUCUGCACCCUGAGCCAAAUUGCUCAAAGAAGAGCAAGUUCGGUUAUUAUUCAUCUCCACGAGGGAAGUCUUAUCUUCUGCAAAUAUUUGAUACUGGGACAAGUCCAAUAAUUAACAAGAACAAUCAAACAAUUUCACUGCCUUCUUGGGGAUUUAAAAAGUCAUCAUCUGGAAUUCAUGAACAUUACAACCUUUUUUUUUUUUUUUUCCCGUGCUUGGAUAUGUUACUGUAUAUGAUCUUUUCAGUGUGUGUGCGCGUCCCUAAGUGAUUUUACCCUUUCAUGCAAAAAGAUGCAAACCAUUAACAGCACAGAUAAUAUUCACAACUGCUGAUUCAGUGAGACUUCAGACCUCUCCGUAGGAGUGGUGAGAGAGGGUGGUAACUCUGACGGGAAAACGAGAAAAAAAGAAAAGAGCUGGAGGAAUGUUUCUUUCUUGGCUUCCUCCCUACCUCUGUGGCAGGAACUCCCACGGGAGUCCUGUGGGUGGGAUGGGAGCAGGGCAGAUGGGAGCUUGGCCAGCUCUGUUUAGGUGCAAGCAUCAGCUCUCCCAGACAGCCCCAUAACUCCUCACUCCAGAGAAAAAGCCAGGCUGGGAGAGGAAUGGGCUUCUGAGCUCUGCAGCAGCAUUGCUGGCACGGCACAGCCGUGGGGUGCCAGGGAGGCAGCAUGGCAUUCAGGACCUGCAGUGAGCCAGGCAGGACAGACAGGGAGUGGGCCAUGGCCUGGCUGUACCCAAAAACCCGAAACACUAAGCACACUCAAACUUGCCUCUUCUGGAUUAGAUUCAGACUUCUCAGAAAGGCCAAGUGAUAACGCUCCACCCUGCACUGCCCAGUCACCAAACUGUGCACAGAUUCUGGCUCUGGCAGCCAAAGUGACACGUCCUCAGCCCCCAGCUGCUCAUGCAAAUCCUGCCGCUGAGGGCUGCUGACCCUCCGUGCUGCGCAGGCAAUGAACCAGUUCUGGCUGAGCUACAGAAAUGAAGCUUUGCUCCACCUCAGGUCACCUCAGACCUGGGGACCUGCAGCCAGACUUCCAUGGGCUCUCGGGCUUUGUGUGUCCUCCUCACAUCUUCCAGAACCCUUCUCUAUUCACACUCUACCCACACCUUUUUUUUCUUUGCAUAAGCAUUGCCCCCCCCUGCCUUUACUACUUGUUUUAUGCCAACUCCUCCUUACAAUCAUGAUAAAGUUCCUUGCAGUUCAACACAAGAAAGGAGUAAGGGUGGCUGGGUCCAAAACUAAUCUGGUGCAAAGAGAAAAAGCCAAAUGCGGGUGCAUUUUAUUUAAGAUCAAAAGCACAAUGGUGUGAGAUUGUAUUAUGCUCUCCACAGGAGCUGUAUUUUUCUAGUUCUACAAUAGGAUUAAGGUGUUCAGUGGAAAAGAGAAUUACAAAAAAAAAAAAAAAAAGGAGAAAGAAAGAAAGGAAAAAAGCCCCAUUGGACUGCUAGUAGCUGUAUUUGAGUUUGUCUUGAAUAAUGAGGAUAUUUCAUUCCUCAAAGACUCUAGCAUCUUAUUUCCAAAUACUUUUUAAAACAAUUGUGAAUGGCAACAAUAAUUUAAUUUUUACUAUUUAUUGCAAAGAAUUAAUUUGGAGGGAAGUUAUUUGUUUAUUUAAAGAAAGGAUGUUGCCAUUUGUGCAUUGACUCAUUUCAACAUUUUCAGUCAAGCAAAUGCUUUUUAGUAGAACCUACAGACGUCUCCUUAUUUAGCCCUGCAUAUUUGAGUGCACAGGAUGUUGAAUGUUAGCACACGGGCUGGACACAGCUGGGAGCACAGCUUCAAGCCACUUUUCCACCCUGAAUAACUGAAGAAAGCACAAAAGAAAAUUUUCAGUGCAACUUACGCAGUGAAAGGUAGGCUACUGUGUAAAAAUUGCUAGUUAUUUUGAAUUUGAAAUUUGCAAAGCUCUGGCUAACUCUCAGUUUCCCGGCACCAGGGAAGCAUGGCCUGAGCCUGCUUCUGUUCCAGUGUUCAUGGAACAUGAGUGUGGUGAAAUGAAAGGUAUCACACAUCUUUACUGUGAGCAGUGUGCACCUAAAAAUCAAUUUGUGAAAGUGUUCUAUGCACAGCUCUAUGUUGGUUUCCCCCACCCACCCCUGAACCUGCGAGUUAAAGUUUUAUGUAUGAUUCUAAGGGGAAAAAAAAAUUACAGAUAGAUCUCUCUGCUCACACAGAGCUAAUCCGUCUUUAGUUUUCCCUGACUUUUCCCUUCACUACCACUCUUCACCACCUGCUUCUUGCCUCAUCCUCCUAGAAAAUUCAUAGCUCCAGUUUUCUACUCCAUUGAGUCUUGGCACACUCAUUUUCACAAGAGCUGCAGUAAAAUGCCACCUCUCUCACAUGGAAAUGGCUUGUUGCUACCUCUCAGAGGUAUAAGUGCAUUGAACAACAAAACCCAAGUCCUAUAAAACAACAUUAUCUUUGUGCCAGGGUAAUCCAAUCAUUGAGGUACUGAGAUAACCUUAAAGCCAUAUCAAAAUGAAGAAACCACUUAGGAACUUACAAACAUCUGUUUUUGUAUCAGAAAGCAUCAGCACAAGAACACCCUUACGUGGUCCUAAUCAGUCCAAGCACUGCUCUCAUCUUUUACAUUCAGCAUGGCUUAUCUGCUCCUUCGUAAUAAAAUCAGGCUGAUGCUUGCACUGAUUUCUGCUAGUAGGAAAAGCCUCUGUUGCUCAAAUUAAAGCAAUGUGGUUCUAUGCAGGUCUGUUCUCCCGGAGGCAAUGGAGAAUCCCAUCUAUAAUAUUUCAAAAAGACAUUAAAAUAACUUCCUAGGGAACAUAAACCAUGCUGCUGUUGAGCCCCUGGAUAGGGCACUCUUUCCAGUUUCUUGUUAGCUGAUUCCUGAAAUUAAAUGACAGAAUCAUGUUUCAGGCAGGGCAACUGGCAGUUUGGAUCCCACAUUUAGGUCCUAUUAACUAAAUAAGGAAUGUAUUUAUUUUUAGUAGAAGGUGCACACAAAAUCUAAAAGAAACAGGAAAUGUUGAUUAAAUUAAAUGUCAGUGUGGCGUUCUAUAAUUUAAGCUACUGCAGGCACAUGGAAUGAUAAAGAGAAAAGGAAGCCAGCUGAACAAGUUAAGAUACUUGGUUUGAGUUGUCCAUGCUGAGCAAAAAUUAAGUAUUACAAGAAUCUGUAAACAGCUUUCAGCUUCAAUAAUGGAUUAAAGGCACGAGCCACAAUCAUCUAUCAUGCUACCAGUAGUAAUCCAUAGAUUUCAAUGAGAUUACUCGAAUAUAUAAAAAAAUAAUCAUAAUCUAUCAGGACAUGCAGAUGAAUAAAGACAGUCACAAGGAUGGAUUUAAGAAGCAGGCUGGAACUUCAUUAACACAAUAUUUUCACAUGUCAAACAGUUAAGUGGGCCCAGUUCAGGGAUUACAAAGCUACAAUUUAGGGCAGAUCUUCCCUAAUCUCUCUUUUACAAGGAGCUCACAUCUGAAACCCACCCCUCAACCCUUGCCAAGAAAAAGGAGGACCUAAACCCCACAACACUUCAUUUAGGUUUGCUUCUUUCCUAGGCACAAAUCCACUUGGAAAGUUCCAGAUUUGUUUGUUUUUUUUUUAAUUUCAGCCUUAGUCCACACUAAGUGUGACCAAAAGCUUUCCGUCAAUUCCAACAGAUGAAUAAUUAUGUACAUUCUCCUAUAUUCCAUUUCCAAAUCCAACUUUUUAGCCCACCCGUGACCCUGUGGUGCUACAGAGGCCAUCAAAACAUUUAAGCCUCUCCAACUCUGCCCUAAUAGAAUAACAAGCCUUUCUUGAUGCCAGAAUUCCCAACCAAAGAGUCAGCAUCCCAAAAUCACAGAUUACCCAUCGUGAUACAGGAGAGGAUUAAGACCCAAACCUUAAUUUCACUUUUGUGCCUGCCAGAAGUGAGAGGACCCACCCAGGGUCCCAGCUGGAGGUUUCAUGCCUACGUUCUGGCUGUCCCCUUUCCUCCUUGGCUGUUUACCCCACCAGCAGGUUUAUUAAUUGUGUUUUCCAUGGUGGAGCCUCCACUGGAGGCAGAGGAAGCAUUUGCAGGAUGAGAAACCAUGUGGUGAUGCUUGCCUGCGUGGGGACACCACCAGGGAUGUGCCUUGCAUGGCUCAGUGAGGGUCACUCAGGACUAAUUAAUGAGGGCAGGCCAUUAAGACAGCACAGACGUGGAACUUUCAGACCAUCAAGAAAUCAAGGCAUGUGCUCAUGGCACACUGUUAUGCACAGUGGGUGCUUUAAACUCAAACCAAGGCUGCAACAAGGUUUUCAGAGUGAUUUCCAAGAGUUUUGGGCACUCUACAAGUUGAUAAAAAUUGUGGCAUAGAGCUUUCCAAAAGCAGGUGUCUUUCUUUUCUUUUUUCUUUUUUUUUUUUUUUUUUUUUUUUUUUUUUUUUUUUUACAUCUAGGCAUGUUUUCUAAAACUGGUGAUUGAUUGAAAAAAGGAGGUAAUCAAAAUAAUCUGCGACUUCUGAAAAUAGAGGCCAGUUCCUGUGAGUAAGUUUUAGCAGGACUGAACAGUUAGUGGCUUAUCAGUAGCACAGGAACAGGGAUUUGUAUAUACUGUUUUAUUAAGAUUAUUAUCUCUACAGUGCUCCUUAAAUGAAAACAAAAGGAAAAAAAAAUUGCUGUAAAAGGACAGAAAAGAUGACUCACUUUCCCGUCAUUGCCAAAAGCCUCUAAUUUUCAAUAUAAUCAACCUUUGUGCCACAAUAUAGAGCUUUUUUUUUUUAAAUAUAUAUAUAUAUUUCGGUGCAGUAAUUAAUACUAAAAUAAAUGUGAAAAAAAUAGUGUGACCUUUUUAAAAUUUAGCACAUCGCUGUAGGAUUAUUCUCCAGCAUGUAUGCAAAAAAAGCAAACAAACAUAGCAAAACCAAACACAAUUAAGUAAAAAAUGGCCAGAUUUCCAACCAAAAUAUUCUUUCAUACUAAAAAAUCUGUUCUCUGAAUUUGUGGUUAUUGUUUGAAAAAUCAGAGAGCAUAUACAAUUUUUGCUACAGCAUUUCUCAUGCAAAGCUGUUUUCUUGCACUCCCGUCUUUUGUGGAGUAACACAGCUCCUAAUAUCCUUAAAUUACUAUCAUAAAAACAAGAAGGAGAGGAGGUUGCUCUGCAAUGAGAUGUCGUUUGUGUUGGUAACAGGGCAAUCGUUGAUUUAAAAUUGGCAUUGGAGCUGCUUUUGUGAAAUGAUUGCUGGGUUAGUAAAACAACCCUUUAAACUAUCAACAUCUGAAUUUCUGAGGGAGGACUCAGGUUCAGCACUUGCUCUGGUCUGUGUUGCCUAUUAGACCUGCACAUAUUUCUCUGUGUGCAUAUUCUGCUGCUCUGGAUGUAUCCUAUAGCAAAGCUCAUAAGAUCACUGUCUAGAAGGCUCAAAUAGCUUCAUCUUUUACCUUUAAAGAAAAAAAAAAUGGCAUAUAAAUAAAAAUUUCAUACCAACUCAAAGCCUGUUUUACCUCAUGCACCUGCUCACGUGGCUACAGGUAUGCAGUGAAGGAAAAGCAGUGCAAAAUAUUUUAUAUUCUGCUUUUCUAGUGUGUGGGCAUUCAGGCUGUUCACUACAAAUGACUGCACAAGGUGAGAGGCAUGGAGAAUCAGGCCCCAAAGAUUUUUCUAUACUGGAUCAGAUCACUGGUGCAUUAAGUGUGUCACCUCACAGCUGGGUGCUCCAAAAUGAACCCAGCUAUCUGUGCAGUACUGUGGGAGCUGCUCUGGCACUCAGGUUGCAUCCAGGAGAGCAGAGUGGGGUUUGCCUUUUAUUUUCUUGGUGUAUCUAGUCAGAGCUGCUCUUAUUUGGGAUCAAACUGUUCAGACUUCCUUAACAGUUAAACAAGAGCAUCUGACUCUGAUGUAAGACAUGGCAUUAGAAAUUAUAAAUAAUAGCACAAGAGAAAACAAAACAACACAACAAACAUUACUUUCUCACUGGUUUUCUGUGCUUAUGUGGUAUAAGAAAAUAGUCUGCAAUAUAAGAAACAUGUAAUAAGUAUUCCAUGAUCUACAUCAGGGCAUUUUACACUGCAGAGCUAAUUUGGGGAACUUUGCAGCUUCAUAGAAUUGAUUCAUUUAAGUUAGAAAUGUGACUUAAUAGUACAUGAACAAUAAUUAUAUUCAGUAUUAGGGAUUUCCAGAUAUCAGCAACAUGAAGUAGCACAAACACAUCAGCACACAGGGCUGUGAAAACCUUUCAGAGGUUUCAUAUGCUGAACCCAGUGAGAAUCAAACCUCAGCACAUCAAGUCGUAGGCACAAAUAUUCCUAAAGGACUUCAACAUGCUGAUUCCAGCAUCCAAAAUCCAAAGCAGACGAGCAGAACUUAGCACACAUGUUGGAUACAUUGAUCCUGGUUGUCACAUAUUCAAAACCAUUCAAAAGCUAUUCCAUACCUGCUAUCUGACUGAAAGCCAAUAGCACUGAUAUGUGCCCUGAAAUUGCUUCUCUGGAGCUCAGUUUCAGCCACCAAAAAACCCAACAAAACCCACAAAGAAAAUAUAUGUGCCUACACUCACCAAAAAAAACCAAAUGAAAAACACACCCAAAAUCAAACAAAACAUCCAGCCAAAACCCAAACACUUAGGCUGCAGGCUUACAUACUAUUUUUUGAAAGAGUUUCAUUUCAAUAAUAUUUUUAAACAUAUGCCAUGUGACUGGUGAUCCAGCUUCCCCAGUUCACAGAGCAGAAGAUAAAAGCUUUCAGGGAGAGCAGGUGUCCCACCAUCCAUUCACUCUUAGUCAUUCUGAAACAUAAGACUUGACUGCAAGUCUUUAGCCAAAAAAUUAAGGUCAUUCAGAAAAGUAUUUUUUAAUCCUUUUAUUUUUUUCUAUUUUGACAGAACUGCUUCUCUUCAGACAAAAUAAAGAGAUGAGUAAAGCAAUGAUCUAUUUCUGCAAAUGUUUAUGUGAAGAGCUGUUAUUGAUAAAGUUGAAGUUUCACUAGUAAAAAACAGCUUUUUUACUAAACAGCAGGAUUUGUUGAAAUGGGCUGGUUUUCCUUUCUGAAACACCUGUUGUGACCUUCUGCUGAAGGUGAAGAGCCCACAGCCCAUGGCUGAGCACCAGACAGUGCCAGGGUGUGCUGGAAUUUGGGGUGAGCUCCUGGGAGGGAAAGCUGAGGUUUAUCCUUCUGCUGGCACCAGGUUCAGGGCUCUGUGCAGGAGUCAAAGCAGGAAAGAAGGCCACAAGAGAAGAUGUAGACCACAAGGAUGAAAUCAAAAUGGAAACAAGAAGUCAAGUGGCACUCUGGCACCUGCAGAAAGUUAUCUAUUAGACAAAUCAAAAAAUAAAACCUCACUAAGAACCUGUCAGACCAAUUAGAAGUCUCUGAAUGAGUGUGUGUGUGUGGUGGGGGGUGUUUGUAUUUUGUCUUUUAACUGACUUCAAAACAAACUGAAAAGUUUGGAAAAACACAGAAGGACUCUAGUAUGGACUUUUGUUCAGAAAGAAAUCUGCAAUAAAACCCUAUUGUAUUCAUCCUCCAAGCCAGAGGCAGGGCUGGUAUUUGUAAACCCAGGGCAGGGAUUAGAAGCCAGGCUUGCAGACAAAGAAUAAAUCCAAGAGUUCACAGCAAGGACUCUCCAGCUAUAAUAUUCUUGAAGUCCUCCUCACCCAGACACCAGCUGUUUAUAGCUGGAAUUACCUUUUCUCUUUCAUAGAUUCAAACUGAUACUUUCACAGUGAAGGCCUUCAUGCAACUGAUUAAUAAAUUGCCUUUUUGAGUAAGGAGGUUUUCAAAAAGAAAAGUGACUGUGAGGUAACUAAUAUCCAUAGGGAAGCAGACAGUGAAGGAUGAGGGGGAAGGAGGAGAAGGGACAAGAGGAAGAGGCACCAAGGAAGACACAAAGGAGCCCUGAAGAGCAUCAGUCAUCAAGCAGUGAGUUUUAACACUGCUUGCAGGCUGCUCCCAGACUUUUGGGACUUUUCAAGGCUUUCAGAAUAAUUAAAUAUUAGUCUUUGUUUUAUAGCAGGUAAGGACGUUUUUACUCAGGAAUACCUAGCAUCUCCUGAAGCACUCCAGAGCUGGAAAAGCUAUCUUCACCUACUUCAGCUCUCUGUUCAAAGUUACAAUCUUUUUAGUGGCUGAAUUGUUGAAAUGGCACUGAAAACUAAUCACCCUCUGACUCUCACAUUACCUUCCCCUACAACCUGUUUACCCUCCUGGCCCACUGUUUUCCUAAAAGCAGCUUGCUGACAAGUGGCAGGAUUACCAUUUCCAUGGUCAGAGGACAAUGCACAGAGAUUAAUGUCAUUUUUAAGGAAAAAGGAAGGACUUUUUCUGGAUACAUUUAUUCCAGAGAGGUGGUAAAUGCAAUCUUGCUUGUUACUGUAAUUCACAAGCUCAUCUUCACCCCUCUGGUGUAAUCAAUUCCCCGAUGAUCAGGGCUCAGCCAGUGCUUGUGUGUGUGUGAGGCAAUAAGUGUGCAAUGGAGCUCAGGUUCACCCUGGUCCACGAAGCAUGUGAGCAUCCUGUGACUGAAAAUAUGCUCCCUUGUAUAAUCCUGAGAUUAGCAAGUUUCUAGUAAAGGAUGUCAGACAGAAAAGGGAGGAGAAAAAAUGCUUAAGGUAAAAACGCAGGAAAACCCAGCCUAAGGAAUGAACUAAGAGGAUUCCUGCUCAGUUCCAGCUGCAUCUCUGUCACUGAUGCCUCUGUGAACUGGAGUGAGGUGUGACAACUCCUCUGGCUUUAAAAUCCUAAAAACAAGAACCGAAGGAGGUGAAGCUGUUUUAAAGAUCCUUGGCUGUUUAGAAGGUGAGCUGUGCCACUGCCAAUUGAUCAUAAGCAACCUCUGACAGACAGAGGAGGGAAGGUUAGCAGAUCACAAAACACACCCUGCUCAAACUGUGACAUUCAUGAAAAAUGUCACUGGCUGGAAGUGAUUAUCAUCUUGGCAGCUGUGCUUGGUGGGAUUUGGGGUUGCACAAACAGCUGGAAGGUGCUAACUGGCCUUCCGCAGGUGUGUUCCUGGCCACUGGCAUUUUUAAGGCUAAGAGGGGAGGAGUUUUCCAGACAUCCCUCUAUAGGAAGGUACCAUGGGCAUUUUAAGAGUUGCAAUUCCACAGCACACCUGGCAGGGUGACAGCUGGAGUUCCCAUGUGCUUCUAAGAACUCAUCCCACAGGCUUUGUGCAACUGGGAGGCUUCUAGACAGGAUGGACAGUGUCUUCCACUGACAGAGAACAUGGAUAAAUUACCUCAACUAUAAACUCAAUCUGCCAAAUCCUUGUAUUGCAGACUUGGGGCCAGAAUUAAGUUUUUUGGUUUGGGAUUUUACAAUGAAACCUAUUACCCAAACAGUCCUAGCAGCCUCCACUAAGUCCAAAAGAGGAAGCAGCAUCUUACAGAUUUUCAGGUGAAUAUUUGAAUUGACUAUCAAACCUGAAUACAGCUCGAUGGUUGCAGAGUUCUCUUGUUGAUUUUAUUUCUGAAGACAAGACAUGUUCAACCCUAGAGGUUCUUUUGCUUGUAUAAAGAGAGAAAAUAAUCUCUACUGAGAUCAUCUACCUGUCUGUAACCCAGAGUUGGCACCACAGUCCUUUCCUUUGUGGUGAACCCUAUUUUUGGUCGGGAGCAGAGGGGAGGGAGGCAAGCAGGCAACCAAGAAAAAGCUCAAGAGAAAGCCUCAGCUCGUGCACACAGAAGCAUUUUUCCAGAUGGGAUGUCCCCUUUGCUCUCCCCAAACCUGUUGCUCUGCCAAUACCCUCCUCAGGCUCCUCCCAGGAGCUCGGGCAGUGGUGGCUGCCUGGCAUCUGUGGGGACAGCUGGGCACCUGCCCGGGGCUGCUGCAGCUGCAUCAGCUCUGGGCACCCUCCCCUGCAUACCUGGCAUGGCACCAAAAGCCCAUUUGAGUCUUUAGCAAAGACAUUCCCCUCCCUGGUGGUGUUUUGGAUGCUUUCUUGGAGCCUUUGUUAGCUGUGCUUGGAAGGACUCCAGGCAGGCAGAAGACAGAACAGUGCAAAGCCUCAAACCCCACGGUUCACUCGUGUCUCGGGCGGGUUCACGCACGUACUCUGCAGAGGUGGGAGCACAAUUCCUUCCCAGAUCCCUUCCCUCCCAUCCCUGCCUUGUUGCUUUGCAGCAAGGUGGAACCGAGCAGGUCAUCCAGAGAGGUGAUGCAAAGCCCAUUGUUAGUCAAGAAAGGAACAGAGUCAGAGAGCCAAGAAAGGAAUUUGUGUGUGUGCCUACCCGAGGUUCCAACCCACCCUUUGUAUGUGGAUAGAGAACACUACAUAUUUACAGACAAAAGUAACGACAUCUACGACGCUGUUUAAACUUUUGAUAGUCCUAAUUCUGGUUUCUUUACAAGCUGAAGUGUUUGUGGUUUGAAAUCCACAUUAUCACACAACUGUCUUGGUCUCAGUGAUCCCCUUCCUGAAGCAAGUUACUUGUUGCAGAAGUAAAUUACUCCAUAUCAUUUUCUUAGAAGAUUAUUAAAAGAAUUUCUCAUAGCAUUCGGGUUGCCAGUUUGAACUGGGUGGCAAACAAGAGGUGGCAAACUAAUUAACACCUCAGAAAUAUAACAGAUUAAAAGUGAGUACUUCUGUCUCGUUUUGAACCAACUCAAAUACAAUGGAUCUGUAAAUUAAGCUCAGAAGCUGUUGGGGGUGAAUUCUGCUCAGAAGAAAUUAUGUUCAGAGAAGACAGAGAAAACACUGCAAUGAAAAAUAAAGCACAAGGCAGAUCAGAAAUCUGAUAGGAUGAAAUACCUAAAAGAUUACAUGGAAACUAAACAGAAAUAGAUAUACUUUCAUUAAAAGAAAAGAAAAUGAACAACAAUUAAAAAAAAAAAAAAAAAAGAAAACCCCAGCUUUACAGCAGCCCAAACUGAUGGAAGUCCUAUUUCUAUAUAUACCAUAAGGUUUAGUUUUCCUAGAAAAAGAGCUGCUUCAAUUGUCAUUGUAGAAAGGAGAGGCUUUAUAUUCCCUAACAAAAAGUGGCAAGCCACGUGAAUUACUUUCUCCCAGUAAGUAAUUCACAAAGGAUCUGAUUCUGCAAAGCAGUUAUCUGGGUAGUAUUAGUGCUACACCAAGUGCCAAAGAUAUGGUGAGGGCCCAUAUGUCUGCAGAUCCCCCCAACACAGGCGCAUCCACAAGACGUGGGAGGUGGAAAAAGCAAAGCUGAGUGCAGUCCACACCAGCACCCUGAAAUCUUAGAGCCACAAGUGUUUAUACAUCUGCUAGUGAAGAUUAGGCUGUCCAGAUCAUUAAAAUUCAAUGCAUAAGUAGAAAUACUUAAAAUACAAAAGAAAAAACUUUAUAUAGCAAUUUCCCCCCCCCUCCCUCUGAGCUGGUUUCCCUGUCAGUGUGGCUGUGCCAGCUUUAAUGCCUGUUAUUUUUAAUUUGCUGUACAAGAGGAAAGGCAAUCAGGGAAGUUCAUGUGCUCACAUACACUCAUACACAUGCGUGCAUUGAUAGAUAUCAUACAUAAUUUCUCAAAGUAAAUAUGUAGUGAUUAAUUUAAUAAAAGAAAUAAUUGCAAACAGCAUACUGGGUCAUGGGUGACAAAUCUAAUCAUUUACUGAGAGUAAUAUAUGCAGAAAUAAACAAGAUAUAGCUUAUAAGCAAUGUGUGGGAAGUUAGCUAUGAUUCAGGCAAGCGUUUGGAUUUCUUGUUUGUGGACAGAAGGUUGCAAAUUUAACCACUUAACAGACACCUCUCUAAUUUCCUGGUAAUUAAUGAUUUUUGUAAUGGUUAUUAAGGCCUCCAGCCCUAGUACUGUCAGCUCAUUAUUGUAUUUGUGAAUUAAGUGUAGCAGUUAAAAAUAUAGGUGGACAAGAAGCAGCUCCAUCUUAUCCUGGGCUGUUGCAGCACUCUGAACUAGAGCGUGUAACCCCUCUAGUGGAAACUGGGAAAAGUGGAAAAGUGGCUCUAAAGAAUUGCCCAUGGUAAUUCCCAAUUGGACACGGGCAUUCCCAAUUCCUCCAAGAUCAAUAAAUGAAAAUUUCCCUGAUUGUGCAUCCCUUCAAAUGCCCUGUGCUCACAGCAGUGCAGCAUCACUGAUAUUUUACUUCAGGAUGCAGGAAAAGUGCUUGGAAUAGAACGGAGUGAAAUGAAGGAAAUAAGGUUUGAGCCAAGCAUCCUGUUUCACUCCAGUGAGAACACAAUUAAGCUGAGCCACCCUGAGAAGUUUCCUUUCAAUAAACAGCCACGUCAGUUUGAAAGUCCUCUAGAAUACGGGUGCUGAAACAGUGCAAUCAGCAGAGGAAAAAAAGGGCAACAGGUAUAAACUUAGCGUGCCUUUAUUUCUUGGGACACACCUUCCAAUGGGAUGCAUUCCCACUCCAGAGAAAGGGACCAUUGAGUUAUCUGAAUGGUCUCAUUUUCCUCCACAAAUGGGAAUGAGCUGAGACUUGUUAUUGUUGCACAGGGCUGUGGUUGCAUGGUCUGAACACAGAACUCUGAGCCUCACAGUCCUGAGCUAGCCAGGACUUCUGGCCUCAUUCCAGCCACUGGCUGUCUCCCCUCUCAGUUUCCCCACUUUCAAACGAGUGAACAUGCUUAACCCCGAGUUCCUCAAAGCUGAAAUGUACACUCAGCAGCAAAGGAAAGUUAUUAAGUCUAUACACACAGCACGAGUGUGUAAGCACACAGCACUGCCCACCUGGCUUCCAAAAUCCCCAUUUUUACACACAGAUGAAAACUGCCCUAGACACACCCAGCAAUGGCAUUUUUGUGUGCUCCUUGUCCUCAUCAGGAGUUCUUAUAUUGCAAAGACAGCCACUCUUUCAUCAUACAUCAUCUCUAUAUCUAAAUGAAAAGAGUCAAUAACUCUCUGGACAUACUAAAAGGUCACUAAUUGAGGUCAUCUGUAUUGGGGUGAGAGCAGAAACUAUUUUUUGUUCAUUAAGCACAACAGUAACUGUGUAAGAAAAGCUUUAAAUCAUGUUGUGCCUAUGCACAAUUCAAAUGCAGUUAGAAUUAGGUGGUGGACAGGGAAUGCCACAAAUUUGUCACAACAGGACAAUAACUUUCCUUCGUAAAUAACUGUCCUUCAGGAGGAAACUGAAGCCCCCUCAUGGUCAAGCUCAAGUCCUCAUAAAGUUCUCGGAGCUCUUCCUAUUCCCUUUGCACAGCAGCCUGGACUUGCUGAAUGUUAGCGUGGGAUGAUGGCUCCACAUUGCAAAUGCAAAUAGCAAUAUGCUGUGUUGCCCUAGAGUGGGACAGCUGCUGAUAGCAGGAGAAGAGACACCUGUCCUUGCCCACUUUUGCAAAAUUGAGGAGAAG
Molecule: long non-coding RNA, 13398 nt
Organism: Prinia subflava (tawny-flanked prinia)
Lineage: Eukaryota; Metazoa; Chordata; Aves; Passeriformes; Cisticolidae
Exons: 2
Source: RefSeq, a predicted model, not a curated record